UUCNGAGAUGAUGCACCUAACCCACAAGU
RNAcentral lists this non-coding RNA (29 nucleotides) under Mus musculus (house mouse). The record is from RNAcentral. Lineage: Eukaryota; Metazoa; Chordata; Mammalia; Rodentia; Muridae.